Molecule: ribosomal RNA, 580 nt
Filed under: Trichoderma harzianum
Lineage: Eukaryota; Fungi; Ascomycota; Sordariomycetes; Hypocreales; Hypocreaceae
Description: eukaryotic LSU rRNA
Rfam family: 5.8S ribosomal RNA (bases 203-356)
Source: RNAcentral
CCGAGUUUACAACUCCCAAACCCAAUGUGAACGUUACCAAACUGUUGCCUCGGCGGGAUCUCUGCCCCGGGUGCGUCGCAGCCCCGGACCAAGGCGCCCGCCGGAGGACCAACCUAAAACUCUUAUUGUAUACCCCCUCGCGGGUUUUUUUAUAAUCUGAGCCUUCUCGGCGCCUCUCGUAGGCGUUUCGAAAAUGAAUCAAAACUUUCAACAACGGAUCUCUUGGUUCUGGCAUCGAUGAAGAACGCAGCGAAAUGCGAUAAGUAAUGUGAAUUGCAGAAUUCAGUGAAUCAUCGAAUCUUUGAACGCACAUUGCGCCCGCCAGUAUUCUGGCGGGCAUGCCUGUCCGAGCGUCAUUUCAACCCUCGAACCCCUCCGGGGGGUCGGCGUUGGGGAUCGGCCCUCCCUUAGCGGGGUGGCCGUCUCCGAAAUACAGUGGCGGUCUCGCCGCAGCCUCUCCUGCGCAGUAGUUUGCACACUCGCAUCGGGAGCGCGGCGCGUCCACAGCCGUUAAACACCCAACUUCUGAAAUGUUGACCUCGGAUCAGGUAGGAAUACCCGCUGAACUUAAGCAUAUCAA